This 325-nucleotide ribosomal RNA is filed under the name uncultured bacterium. RNAcentral's name for it is "bacterial SSU rRNA". It matches the Rfam family "Bacterial small subunit ribosomal RNA", at positions 47 to 368 of the family's 1533-position model. The record is from RNAcentral.
CCUAACACAUGCAAGUCGAACGGUAACAGGAAACAGCUUGCUGUUUCGCUGACGAGUGGCGGACGGGUGAGUAAUGUCUGGGAAACUGCCUGAUGGAGGGGGAUAACUACUGGAAACGGUAGCUAAUACCGCAUAACGUCGCAAGACCAAAGAGGGGGACCUUCGGGCCUCUUGCCAUCGGAUGUGCCCAGAUGGGAUUAGCUAGUAGGUGGGGUAACGGCUCACCUAGGCGACGAUCCCUAGCUGGUCUGAGAGGAUGACCAGCCACACUGGAACUGAGACACGGUCCAGACUCCUACGGGAGGCAGCAGUGGGGAAUAUUGCA